CGAAUCGAGACAUAACCUAUUUCAUGCUAAAAGGCUGAACGAUGGAUUUGUGAGGCUUCUCUUCAUGAGAGAGCAUCAUCCUUUUGAGUUCUAGAAGGUAUUUAUUUCUAGUCUCCUCAUCAUUGAUGUGCUCUAUGAUGUCAAACAAGAUUUCUUUGGGAUUUCCAGAAAUAACAUUAACGGUCUUUUUUGUACAAGUACAAAAGGUGCCGUUACAAAUGCAAUCUUGGCCAGACUAGGAUUGAUCG
RNAcentral lists this long non-coding RNA (248 nucleotides) under Capsicum annuum. RNAcentral describes it as "long non-coding RNA (CANN_LNC004936)". Lineage: Eukaryota; Viridiplantae; Streptophyta; Magnoliopsida; Solanales; Solanaceae. The record is from RNAcentral.